This 420-nucleotide ribosomal RNA is filed under the name Eleusine coracana (finger millet). Its description in RNAcentral is "bacterial SSU rRNA". It matches the Rfam family "Bacterial small subunit ribosomal RNA", at positions 1155 to 1533 of the family's 1533-position model. Lineage: Eukaryota; Viridiplantae; Streptophyta; Magnoliopsida; Poales; Poaceae. The record is from RNAcentral.
GUGAGAUACUGGAGGAAGGUGGGGAUGACGUCAAGUCCGCAUGGCCCUUAUGGGCUGGGCCACACACGUGCUACAAUGGCAAUGACAAUGGGAAGCAAGGCUGUAAGGCGGAGCGAAUCCGGAAAGAUUGCCUCAGUUCGGAUUGUUCUCUGCAACUCGGGAACAUGAAGUUGGAAUCGCUAGUAAUCGCGGAUCAGCAUGCCGCGGUGAAUAUGUACCCGGGCCCUGUACAUACCGCCCGUCACACCCUGGGAAUGGGUUUCGCCCGAAGCAUCGGACCAAUGAUCACCCAUGACUUCCGUGUACCACUAGUGCCACAAAGGCUUUUGGUGGUCUUAUUGGCGCAUACCACGGUGGGGUCUUCGACUGGGGUGAAGUCGUAACAAGGUAGCCGUAGGGGAACCUGUGGCUGGAUUGAAU